GACGAACGCUGGCGGCGUGCUUAACACAUGCAAGUCGAACGGAAAGGCCCUGCUUUUGUGGGGUGCUCGAGUGGCGAACGGGUGAGUAACACGUGAGUAACCUGCCCUUGACUUUGGGAUAACAUCAGGAAACUGGGGCUAAUACCGGAUAGGAGCUCCUGCUGCAUGGUGGGGGUUGGAAAGUUUCGGCGGUUGGGGAUGGACUCGCGGCUUAUCAGCUUGUUGGUGGGGUAGUGGCUUACCAAGGCUUUGACGGGUAGCCGGCCUGAGAGGGUGACCGGCCACAUUGGGACUGAGAUACGGCCCAGACUCCUACGGGAGGCAGCAGUGGGGAAUAUUGCACAAUGGGCGGAAGCCUGAUGCAGCAACGCCGCGUGCGGGAUGACGGCCUUCGGGUGGUAAACCGCUUUCGCCUGUGACGAAGCGUGAGUGACGGUAAUGGGUAAAGAAGCACCGGCUAACUACGUG
This 468-nucleotide ribosomal RNA is filed under the name uncultured bacterium. RNAcentral describes it as "partial 16S ribosomal RNA". It matches the Rfam family "Bacterial small subunit ribosomal RNA", at positions 28 to 507 of the family's 1533-position model. The record is from RNAcentral.